GUAACGCGUAUGCAACUUUCCUGUAACUGGAGGAUAGCCCCUGGAAACGGGGAUUAAUACUGCGUAAUACCUAAAUACCGCAUGGUAUUAAGGUCAAAUCUACGGAGGUUACAGAUGGGCAUGCGUGCCAUUAGCUAGAUGGNUAGGUAACGGCUUACCAUGGCAAUGAUGGCUAGGGGUUCUGCAAGGAAGGGCCCCCACACUGGUACUGAGACACGGACCAGACUCCUACGGGAGGCAGCAGUGAGGAAUAUUGGUCAAUGGAGGCAACUCUGAACCAGCCAAGCCGCGUGAAGGAAGACUGUCCUAUGGAUUGUAAACUUCUUUUGUGGCAGAAUAAACUACCGUACUCGUACGGUAUUGCAUGUAUGCCAUGAAUAAGCAUCGGCUAACUCCGUGCCAGCAGCCGCGGUAAUACGGAGGAUGCAGGCGUUAUCCGGAUUUAUUAGGUUUAAAGGGUGUUCAGGCUGCCUGGUAAGUCAGGGGUGAAAGUCGGUUGCUCAACGAUCGAAUUGCCUUUGAAACUGUCAGGCUCGAGUAUGGAUGCGGUAGGCGGAAUGUGUAGUGUAGCGGUGAAAAUGCAUAGAUAUUACACAGAACACCGAUUGCGAAGGCAGCUUACCAAACCAGCACUGACGCUGAAGCACGAAAGCGUGGGGAGCGAACAGGAUUAGAUACCCUGGUAGUCCACGCCGUAAACUUUGCUCACUCGCUGUUGGCGAUAGACAGUCAGCGGCCAAGGGAAACCGAUAAGUGAGCCACCUGGGGAGUACGGCCGCAAGGUUGAGACUCAAAGGAAUUGACGGGGGCCCGCACAAGCGGUGGAACAUGUGGUUUAAUUCGAUGAUACGCGAGGAACCUUACCUGGGCUUAAAUGUGAAGUGCAUUGAUUGGAAACAAUCAUUUCCUUCGGGACCCUUUACAAGGUGCUGCAUGGUUGUCGUCAGCUCGUGCCGUGAGGUGUCGGUUUAAGUCCCAUAACGAGCGCAACCCCUAUUGUUAGUUACCAGCGCGUAAAGGCGGGGACUCUAGCGAAACUGCCGGUGUAAACCGCGAGGAAGGUGGGGAUGACGUCAAAUCAGCACGGCCCUUAUGUCCAGGGCUACACACGUGUUACAAUGGCCGGUACAGCGGGCAGCUAGGCAGCGAUGUCAUGCUAAUCCCG
Molecule: ribosomal RNA, 1165 nt
Filed under: uncultured organism
Description: bacterial SSU rRNA
Rfam family: Bacterial small subunit ribosomal RNA
Source: RNAcentral